This 467-nucleotide ribosomal RNA is filed under the name uncultured bacterium. RNAcentral describes it as "bacterial SSU rRNA". It matches the Rfam family "Bacterial small subunit ribosomal RNA", at positions 330 to 794 of the family's 1533-position model. The record is from RNAcentral.
UCCAGACUCCUACGGGAGGCAGCAGUGAGGAAUAUUGGUCAAUGGGCGAGAGCCUGAACCAGCCAAGUCGCGUGAGGGAGUACUGCCCUAUGGGUUGUAAACCUCUUUUGCCGGGGAGCAAGCCUGAGCACGUGUGCCCAGGCGGAGAGUACCCGGAGAAAAAGCAUCGGCUAACUCCGUGCCAGCAGCCGCGGUAAUACGGAGGAUGCGAGCGUUAUCCGGAUUUAUUGGGUUUAAAGGGUGCGCAGGCGGGCUGUUAAGCCGGCGGUAAAAAUUCAGGGCUCAACCCUGUCGAGCCGUCGGAACUGGCAGUCUUGAGUGGGCGAGAAGUAUGCGGAAUGCGUGGUGUAGCGGUGAAAUGCAUAGAUAUCGCGCAGAACUCCGAUUGCGAAGGCAGCGUACCGGCGCCAGACUGACGCUGAGGCACGAAAGCGUGGGGAUCGAACAGGAUUAGAUACCCGAGUAAA